CUGAGGCGCUCUAGCCUGCGCCCUGAGAGCGGAGCGCAGAGCCGGCGCCGGGCGGAAGACCUGGGAUCCUCGGCCCUUCCUCGGGCAGCCUUCCAGACUGCUGGAGUCGCGAGCAGCGCUGGAACUAGCGUCUCGUCCCCUUCACUUUCCUGCCUCCUGUUUUUCACAUCUGUCCGCGGGCUGCAACGCCUGAGUCUCGGAAAGGAGGGCGCUGCUUUAGGACCGGACCCUGGAGUGGCAGAGGAGGGACGGGAGUGUGUGUCUUCUGCCUCAGUGCCUGCUUCUUUACAUUGGAGCAGUCUAGUUCAAUUCUUCAGGACUGUCAUUAAAUCCUUUCUGAAGGUUUAAACUAACCUAAGAAAUGCCUGCUGGAUCAGUUGGAUUGCUUGGUCUAGCUGUUUGACUGCUCUUUCAAAUAAACACUUUAAGGUACCUCUGCCCACAAAUCUGCUCUUGAGGGGCCAUCUACAGCAACACCGAGUCUGCGGAUGGUGGUGCCAAGGGUCUGACAGUGAUAGUGGCUGUGGAUUGAGGCAUCCUAACUCGGUUAGAAUGAUGUGAACUUGGCUGAAUUUCCGGCUACCAGCUUCUCUGAUGGCUCUGCAGCUGGUCAUCUUUCCAAUAAAUUACUUUCCUAAUUAAAUUGACAGUACUUAGUUUCUGGUGCUGGUAGAUAAUAACCUUACUUGGUGAAUAAAGGUUAAGUAAAUUAUCCAAGAUCAUAGUGCAAAUAAAUGGGAGAGCAAAAAUUUUCUUCUAGGUGUCUUGGAUUUCAUAACUUGUACCCAUAAUAUCUAUAUUUUGCAUUCCAAACUACAUCUCAAAUUCACAUAACUCUUAAUCCUC
Molecule: long non-coding RNA, 846 nt
Organism: Chinchilla lanigera (long-tailed chinchilla)
Lineage: Eukaryota; Metazoa; Chordata; Mammalia; Rodentia; Chinchillidae
Exons: 3
Source: RefSeq, a predicted model, not a curated record